AGUGAACGCUGGCGGUAGGCCUAACACAUGCAAGUCGAACGGCAGCACAGUAAGAGCUUGCUCUUACGGGUGGCGAGUGGCGGACGGGUGAGGAAUACAUCGGAAUCUACUUUUUCGUGGGGGAUAACGUAGGGAAACUUACGCUAAUACCGCAUACGACCUACGGGUGAAAGCAGGGGAUCUUCGGACCUUGCGCGACUGAAUGAGCCGAUGUCGGAUUAGCUAGUUGGCGGGGUAAAGGCCCACCAAGGCGACGAUCCGUAGCUGGUCCGAGAGGAUGAUCAGCCACACUGGAACUGAGACACGGUCCAGACUCCUACGGGAGGCAGCAGUGGGGAAUAUUGGGCAAUGGGCGCAAGCCUGAUCCAGCAAUACCGCGUGAGUGAAGAAGGCCUUCGGGUUGUAAAGCCCUUUUGUUGGGAAAGAAAAGCAGCAGGUUAAAACCCCGCUGUUCUGACGGUACCCAAAGAGUAAGCACCGGCUAACUUCGUG
RNAcentral lists this ribosomal RNA (492 nucleotides) under uncultured bacterium. RNAcentral's name for it is "partial 16S ribosomal RNA". It matches the Rfam family "Bacterial small subunit ribosomal RNA", at positions 29 to 507 of the family's 1533-position model. The record is from RNAcentral.